GACGAACGCUGGCGGCGUGCUUAACAUAUGCAAGUCGAACGGAAAGGCCCUGCUUUUGUGGGGUGCUCGAGUGGCGAACGGGUGAGUAACACGUGAGUAACCUGCACUUGAAUUUGGGAUAACUUCAGGAAAAAGGGGCUAAUACCGGAUAGGAGCUCCUGCUGCAUGGGGGGGAUUGGAAAGUUUCGGCGGUUGUGGAUGGACUCGCUGCUUAUCGGCUUGUUUGUGGGGUAGGGGCUUACAAAGGCUUUGACGGGUAGCCGGCCUGAGAGCGUGACCGGCCACAUUGGGACUGAGAGAGGGCGCAGUCUGGUACGGGAGGCAGCAGUGGGGAGUAUUGCGCAAUGGGGGGGAGCCUGAUGUAGCAACGCCGCGUGCGGGAUGACGGCCUUCGGGUUGUAAACCGAUUUGGCCUUUGACGAAGAGUGAGUGACGGUAAUGGGUAAAGAAGCACCGGCUAACUACGUG
RNAcentral lists this ribosomal RNA (468 nucleotides) under uncultured bacterium. RNAcentral's name for it is "partial 16S ribosomal RNA". It matches the Rfam family "Bacterial small subunit ribosomal RNA", at positions 28 to 507 of the family's 1533-position model. The record is from RNAcentral.